CAGUCGCCACGGGAAUACGUAGGUGGCAAGCGUUGUCCGGAAUUAUUGGGCGUAAAGGGCUCGCAGGCGGUUUCUUAAGUCUGAUGUGAAAGCCCCCGGCUCAACCGGGGAGGGUCAUUGGAAACUGGGAAACUUGAGUGCAGAAGAGGAGAGUGGAAUUCCACGUGUAGCGGUGAAAUGCGUAGAGAUGUGGAGGAACACCAGUGGCGAAGGCGACCCUCUGGUCUGUAACUGACGCUGAGGAGCGAAAGCGUGGGGAGCGAACAGGAUUAGAUACCCCUGUAGUCCCUGUCUCUUAUAC
This 301-nucleotide ribosomal RNA is filed under the name uncultured bacterium. Its description in RNAcentral is "partial 16S ribosomal RNA". It matches the Rfam family "Bacterial small subunit ribosomal RNA", at positions 509 to 807 of the family's 1533-position model. The record is from RNAcentral.